Molecule: ribosomal RNA, 254 nt
Filed under: uncultured Eubacteriales bacterium
Lineage: Bacteria; Bacillati; Bacillota; Clostridia; Eubacteriales
Description: uncultured Clostridiales bacterium partial 16S ribosomal RNA
Rfam family: Bacterial small subunit ribosomal RNA
Source: RNAcentral
UACGUAGGGGGCAAGCGUUAUCCGGAUUUACUGGGUGUAAAGGGGGCGCAGACGGCCAUGGCAAGCCCGGUGUGAAAGGCAGGGGCAUAACCCCUGGACUGCACUGGGAACUGUCAGGCUGGAGUGCCGGAGGGGUAAGCGGAAUUCCUGGUGUAGCGGUGAAAUGCUUAGAUAUCAGGAGGAACAUCGGUGGCGUAAGCGCUUUACUGGGCCGUAAUUGACGCUGAGGAACGAAAGCCAGGGUAGCAAAUGGG